ACUGGAUAAAGAGGAAGAAGGGAGUGGCAGCAGUUAACAAGGCAGCUUGCAAAGAAAGAGCCAGCAAAUUUAAUUUCAGACAAACUCACGAUCCGUAGAAAUGUCUCACCUGAGUUUCCUGCUGCAGUCUUUGUCUAGGACAGAAAAGUUGUUUUUUUUUAAAAAAAAAAAAAAGAUUUGUAGAUAUCUGGACAGUUUGGAUCAAGAGGAAAAGAUGAAAAUGUUACCUGCUAGCAAAGUGACCAGACUGAGACGUCCCAUCCUGAACACAACACACAGUCAGCUGGAAAGAGACGAAGACUCAUGCAGACCAGCAACACCGUGUACUUUGCCCUUUCCUCGGGAAGAACGUCCUUGUGCUGAGAGAGAAAGAAGCAGCGUCUUAACAGGCGAGAGCUGCUGGGAAGGAGACGCAAAGACAAAGACAAAGAAAUACCUCAAGUCAAAUCCUUUGAGCAGCCCAGCAGCUAGCAUGACCUCUCUUACUCUGACACACAUGCCUUUAUUUUGUCAUGUCCUGGAACAACUGCAGACUUCCCAUUCGGUGGUUCUGACUUUACCAGAAUCAGAUUUGAGGAACAGAAUCCAGCACACAGUGAACCAAGGAGUUGAUGAGCAGCUGAAUCAACACAUUGCUCCACACCAACUCUGUUGAAUCAGCUAAAAGGCCAGGGAGAAAUCUCUCCCGCUGACUCUUUCCUGUGUGUGUGUGUGGGCGGGUGUGUGUGUGUGUGUGUGUCUUUUCCACUUCAGAUCUCAUGGUACGGUACUCUGAGAACGUUUUUGCCCCCAUACAUGUUGCUUUUGCUUUUGCUUUCUGUCUCGGCAAGCAAAUUUCAAUUCAAAGACAAGCCAAGAAAAUACAAGAUGCAGUUUUCAAAUGAUGAUUUCUUUUAUCUAAACCAACCUGGACCUGAGUGAAAAAGUAACCCAAUAACUUUUGCAGCAACAACUUCCAUCAAACAUUUGGGGUCAUUUGAAAGGAGACUAUUCAUUAAACCAUAUUUAAGAGUUUGUUUAAGGUUUGAUUUGCAUUUGAUGGUGUUCUUUGGAUUAUUAUUUUGCUAAAUAACCCAAGUAGGCUUAAACUUAAGAACACAAACUAAUAGUUGGUUGAUAUCCUUCAGGAAUUGAGAGUUAAAUUAAUGCUGCUAUCAUUUACAACAUAUUGUUUAAGUCCCCAAGAGGAAACACAGGCCCAGGCCUCCAGGCUACCACCACCUUGUAUAGCUGUCGGUAUGAUUUUCUUUUCCUAAAGAAAAAAAGUUUCCUAAAAGUUUCACUUUUGUCUUAGCAGUUUAUAGAAUAUUUCCUCAAAGGUCUUGUGGACUAUUAGAUGCUUUUAGGGAUAUGUGAGACAGGUCUUUGUGCUCGUGGAAUAAUUGUAGUAGGCUGGAAACUUCAAGAUUAUAUUAUUUGUGAAUAGUAACUCUCCCUGCAGAGUCUAAAAAUCUAAGAAUAAUUGAGGAAUGAUUGCAAUAACUUAUGUAUAUAAACACCACUAUCAUCGCUACAUCACCACUGUCACCACUAGGGGGCAUCACUCUUCUGUUCCCUUCACAUUUACAAUCUACUACAUUUCAGUGUGCCUUUUUUUAUGUAAAUAUGAAAUAUUAUUGCAGCAGAGUUCAGAUUUCACAUAUUAAACAUAAUUCACUUUGUUACUGAUGAGCUAUUAGGUUUUUUUUUUUUUUUUUAGCGCUGUCUUUAACAACAAGAAUUUGUGAUAUUUCAGGAUUCACGGUUUGCUGCAUGACCCAACAAUUUAAGGUUUGACAAAAAGCUGAAUGGCAUUAUUGUGACAGUAAACAGCUUUAUUUUUUUGUUAUAGAAGCCACCUAAACCACGGAAGAGCGAGUUGACAGGAUCAACAAUAACAAUGGGAAGAUAAUUUAAUCACUGGAUAAAAUCUAAAAUUAUUGAUUUAAAAUGAAAGUUGGGUGCAUGUUAAAUAAGUAACAAAACAGUAAAAUACGCAGGUCUGAGUUAGUUAUGGGUGACUGAGUUGGUGGAGAGGCCAGCUUAGUUUGAAGAAUUGUACAAGUAUCCUCUGUCUUGCUAAUGUGUCCUAAACAAAGACUCUGAGAUAAGGUUUGACAGUAAAUGGGCGUCGACCAUAAAUGCAACAGAUCACUUUAGUUUGUACAUUUCUACUCGCCUGCUGACUUGAUCAUAUAAAACUGAUGUGUUCGCUUCUGAACUUUUUUAAAAUAAACUCCAAACUCCUACUGAAAAGUGUGUGUGGGGG
Xiphophorus couchianus (Monterrey platyfish) is the source of this 2248-nucleotide long non-coding RNA. RefSeq lists it as uncharacterized. The record is from RefSeq and is a predicted model, not a curated record. NCBI's taxonomy places the organism in Eukaryota, Metazoa, Chordata, Actinopteri, Cyprinodontiformes, Poeciliidae. The transcript is spliced from 5 exons.